This 468-nucleotide ribosomal RNA is filed under the name uncultured bacterium. Its description in RNAcentral is "partial 16S ribosomal RNA". It matches the Rfam family "Bacterial small subunit ribosomal RNA", at positions 28 to 507 of the family's 1533-position model. The record is from RNAcentral.
GACGAACGCUGGCGGCGUGCUUAACACAUGCAAGUCGAACGGAAAGGCCCUGCUUUUGUGGGGUGCUCGAGUGGCGAACGGGUGAGUAACACGUGAGUAACCUGCCCUUGACUUUGGGAUAACUUCAGGAAACUGGGGCUAAUACAGGAUAGGAGCUCCUGCUGCGUGGUGGGGGUUGGAAAGUUUCGGCGGUUGGGGAUGGACUCGCGGCUUAUCAGCUUGUUGGUGGGGUAGUGGCUUACCAAGGCUUUGACGGGUAGCCGGCAUGAGAGGGUGACCGGCCACAUGGGGACUGAGAUACGGCCCAGAAUCCUACGGGAGGCAGCAGUGGGGAAUAUUGCACAAUGGGCGGAAGCCUGAUGCAGCAACGCCGCGUGCGGGAUGACGGCCUUCGGGUUGUAAACCGCUUUCGCCUGUGACGAAGCGUGAGUGACGGUAAUGGGUAAAGAAGCACUGGCUAACUACGUG